Molecule: ribosomal RNA, 440 nt
Filed under: uncultured bacterium
Lineage: Bacteria
Description: partial 16S ribosomal RNA
Rfam family: Bacterial small subunit ribosomal RNA
Source: RNAcentral
CCUACGGGAGGCAGCAGUGAGGAAUAUUGGUCAAUGGGCGCGAGCCUGAACCAGCCAAGUAGCGUGGAGGAUGAAGGUUUUCGGAUUGUAAACUCCUUUUGUUAGAGAAGAUAAUGACGGUAUCUAACGAAUAAGCACCGGCUAACUCCGUGCCAGCAGCCGCGGUAAUACGGGGGGUGCAAGCGUUACUCGGAAUCACUGGGCGGAAAGAGCGCGUAGGCGGGAUAGCAAGUCAGAUGUGAAAUCCUAUGGCUUAACCAUAGAACUGCAUUUGAAACUGUUAUUCUAGAGUAUGGGAGAGGUAGGUGGAAUGCUUGGUGUAGGGGUAAAAUCCGUAGAGAUCAAGAGGAAUACUCAUUGCGAAGGCGACCUGCUAGAACAUAACUGACGCUGAUGCGCGAAAGCGUGGGGAGCAAACAGGAUUAGAUACCCGGGUAGUC